AUUGAACGCUGGCGGCAUGCUUUACACAUGCAAGUCGAGCGGCAGCGCGGGGGCAACCCUGGCGGCGAGCGGCGAACGGGUGAGUAAUGCAUCGGAACGUACCCUGGAGUGGGGGAUAACGCCGCGAAAGCGGCGCUAAUACCGCAUAUGCUCUGAGGAGGAAAGUGGGGGGACCGCAAGGCCUCACGCUCUGGGAGCGGCCGAUGUCCGAUUAGCUAGUUGGUGAGGUAAAAGGCUUACCAAGGCGACGAUCGGUAGCUGGUCUGAGAGGAUGAUCAGCCACACUGGGACUGAGACACGGCCCAGACUCCUACGGGAGGCAGCAGUGGGGAAUUUUGGACAAUGGGGGCAA
RNAcentral lists this ribosomal RNA (352 nucleotides) under uncultured bacterium. RNAcentral describes it as "bacterial SSU rRNA". It matches the Rfam family "Bacterial small subunit ribosomal RNA", at positions 29 to 380 of the family's 1533-position model. The record is from RNAcentral.